RNAcentral lists this transfer RNA (65 nucleotides) under Xantusia henshawi. Its description in RNAcentral is "tRNA-Cys". The record is from RNAcentral. Lineage: Eukaryota; Metazoa; Chordata; Lepidosauria; Squamata; Xantusiidae.
AAGCCCAGACAUCAUCAAAGAUGCUAUUUCCAGAUUUGCAAUCCAGCGCAUAAUACCUCAAGGCU